This is a long non-coding RNA of Vespa mandarinia (Asian giant hornet), 661 nucleotides long. The record is from RefSeq and is a predicted model, not a curated record. Lineage: Eukaryota; Metazoa; Arthropoda; Insecta; Hymenoptera; Vespidae.
CAGAGCUCUGAAAAUUGUUAUAAAUUAAUAGUCAAUUGAUAUUGAUUACAGAAACUGUCAAUUAAUCUUAUUAAUCAUCGUCAAAGACAAUUGAACUUUUUAAUUGUCAAGAAUUGGCCGAGGUACAGUGAUUUUAAAUAGAUCUAUUGAAUGACUCAAGUGCAGUGUAGUGUUGUUGACGAGAAUAAUCAAUCGGCGAUCGUGUGGCGUCAUCUUUUCGAGAGCGUCAAGUAGCAUUUAUUAAGAAAGGAAACUGGUUUAAUGCCAGGAACAAGGAGAUUGCUCGUAAUUUCAACGAAUAAUACUUGGAAGAAGAGGAAAAAGAAGAAGAAGAAGAAGAAGGGAAAGAAUCGGAGAGCAUGAAAAGGGAUAAAUAGGAGAAGAGAGAAGAAAGAGUCGUUGGCCUUACCAAGAAGAGAUGUACAUAGAAAUCCAUGCGAGAAAUCCAUAUGCAUUGAAUAUCUUCUCAUGCGAGGAGCACGUCCUGCGAAUUCUUGAAUCGCUUUGGUACAUCCUAAGGCACACUUCAGAAUGCGACCGUCGUAUUGGCAUACCUUACGUGAUAGUAUAAGUUAGUAAUUUUCGGUUAAAGUUAGUUAACAAGUAAGACAGAUAUGAGCUUAACAAUUAUUACAUCAACGAAGUUAAAGAAUGUUUAAUA